GACAGGAAACGGCCCUGGAUUGGCUCCAAUAUCCCCUGUGAUCCCAUGGAUGCUGCUCUGUUCAACGCCUCCACGGUCAUCUCCAUCGGCAAUGGCGAAACUGCCAGCUUCUGGUCCUCUUGCUGGCUUUAGGGUCAAGCCCCAAAAGACUUAGCUCCGGAUCUGUUCAAGCUUACCCGCAAGAAAUCCAUCACAGUUGUUGCAGGUAUUGCUUAUGACAAAUGGAUAACUGGGUUUCAGCGUAUCUCUUCGGAGGCUCAACUACGUCAGUUCGUUGAUCUGAGGCUGCGUAUUCGUGACGUGCAUCUGUCUAAUGAGGAGGAUUCUAUUACCUGGCGGUGGACUCCAGACUCUGUGUACUCAGCAAAAUCGGCUUACCUGCAAAAGUUCGUUGGCGCGUAUACAUCAAUCAACCUCAAGAAGAUUUGGUUUGCCAAAGUGGAGCCUAAAUGUAGAUUUUUCAUGUGGUUGUGGCUGAAGGAGAGGAUCCUCACAAACGACAACCUGCUCAAGCGCGGACUGCCAAACAACGGCGCCUGCAACCUUUGCGACCAAGACAUCGAGUCCCCCGCCCACCUCCUUCUGCACUGCAUCUUCGCGCGCAAGGUUUGGUUCCUAAUCGCUGAUUGGAUUGCCCAGCCUGCGCUCAUAUUGCCUGUGGCAUCUGGCGACUCUCCGUCGACAUGGUGGCAUGACACGGCUUGCGGCCUGCCUCCUCACCAUCUCGCUGUGGCAAUCUACGGUUGCUGUAACAUAUGGAAGGAACGGAACCGAAGGGUCUUCGACAAUGCAACCUGCAACGCUGACCAGGUGUUCUGCCUUCUCAAGCAGGAGGUGGCUAUUGCUAUUGCCCGCAUCACCUGGAGCGUCUUUGGCGAAAACGAGCCGGAACCUGAGCCAGAUUAG
This 906-nucleotide ribosomal RNA is filed under the name Triticum aestivum (bread wheat). RNAcentral's name for it is "partial small subunit ribosomal RNA". The record is from RNAcentral. Lineage: Eukaryota; Viridiplantae; Streptophyta; Magnoliopsida; Poales; Poaceae.